CUUCAGCGAUCCCACCCACAGCGGACGGUCCCGGUCCUGCCCGUAGGUCGCCAAGAGUGCGUGGGCCUC
Molecule: antisense RNA, 69 nt
Filed under: Saccharothrix sp. ALI-22-I
Lineage: Bacteria; Bacillati; Actinomycetota; Actinomycetes; Pseudonocardiales; Pseudonocardiaceae
Description: ASpks TB sRNA
Rfam family: ASpks TB sRNA
Source: Rfam by way of RNAcentral